Heterocephalus glaber (naked mole-rat) is the source of this 2620-nucleotide long non-coding RNA. NCBI's taxonomy places the organism in Eukaryota, Metazoa, Chordata, Mammalia, Rodentia, Bathyergidae. The record is from Ensembl.
UUGUAACCCUGGAGAAUCCUGAGAACACCUUCAAGUAGUCAGUGGGACCCUGAGGACAGCCCCCCCCCCCCAGAUCUGGGUGUAGUUUUCGAGGCUGGGCCUCGCUGGGCUCCCGGGGCCUUCUGGGAAGUUCGGGUAGUAGCUCCGCCGCACCUGAGAGUCAGCAGAAGGCCCGGAAGCUUCUGGAAAUAGUGGAUCAGGUGCAAAGGUAAAACCCAGACCAGAGAGGGCCGGAGGGAGGUAGCAGAGAGCAAAGCUCUCGGGAUCCAUCACUGCCACUGUCGCCUGCCUUGGAGACAGACGAACUCCGGAAAGGGAUCGAACUCAGGUCCUUGCGCUUGUGCAGCAGGCGGCGAAACCACUGAGCUAAAUCCCCAGCCCUUAAAGAUUUUCAGUUUAAUUUUAUAGGCUGUGAUAAUGGAAUUGUGGUUCUGUUAAAAGAAGGAAAGCUUCCUUAUCUUUCAGAAAUAUAAUCUUGUGCUACAUUCCUGCAGUAAUGGCCUCUGUGGAUUAAUUACUCCCCAUUUCUAUGUUAUUUGCAUAUCCCCUCCUACAUUAAUUCUGGGUUUGGGUGCGUGACUUAUUUUGUCUAAUGAGACAUUAGCAAACAUGCUGCAAGCAGAGGCUUGAAAAGCAUUUGUACAUUGGGGCUUGCCUUCUCUUGCCUCUGGGAACUCUUGGAAUGCAGCCACCAUGGGAACAAGCCCGAGCUAGCCUGUUGUAAGGCUGUGUGGAGAACUGAGGCACCUCUCCCAAUUGCCAGACAUGUGGGUGAGACCAUCAAAGACAGCUCAACCUGGUCAAGUCACCAGCUAACUGCAUCCUCCUGAGAGCCCAGACAAAAUCAACAGAAGAGCCAUCCAGCUGAUCCCAGCCCAACUGCCAACCCACAGAAUCAUGACCUAAUAAUGAUCACUAUUUCAAGACACUUGCAAUAGAUAAAUAAUAUAAUUCUGAAUGUGUACAAAUAAAAUUUCAGAUGUCUGGGCAUUUGCUUCUGCGGGGUAGGGUGAAUGAAGGUAUAGAUGAAAAAAGAUGUUGGAUAAAAGCUGAUAAUUAUUAGAGUUGGUGAGGGCUUCAUUUCUCUAUUCUCUUUACAUUUGGUUAUGUUUGACAUGGAAAUUUCCAUAGUGAAAAAAUAAAAGAAAGAAGGAUGAAAAGAGGAGUAGAGGAGAAAGAAAAGAGAAUAGCUCUUCUAUUAGUAGAUAAAGCAGUGGAGACACAAAGAUGGAAAGUGAGUUCUGCUAUGCAGCACAGCCAAAUCUUAGCAGAGUUCAUUGCUGAACACAGCUUCUCCAACUCCUGGGCCCAAUGCUUUCCAUUGUCUGACAUGCUCAGAGCCUGGAAAGUUGGUAGGAGAAACAAUACGGGGAAGAAUCACCUCAUCUCUUACUUGAGAAAAGCCCAGUGGCAAGUCUAAGAUGUUAGAAGGUGGUGAGACCUUUGGUGACAGAUGAUUUUAUUUGUGUGCUGUAUUGUUUAGCAGUUGAGGAACAAAUAUCUGUUUUGCCAGGUACACGUACUAUAUCACAUAAGAGAGAAGGAAGACCUCCUUUCUAUACUCUGCCCCACGGCGUUGCCACCAAAAGCUUCCUCUGUUUUCAAAAGUGUGUAGUAACUGUGAAAGAAAUAACAGGGGCUGUGUUACAGUGUGCCCGGACAUCAACACUAAAAAUUCAUCUUCAAGUCCAAAUAUAUUAAGGUUGUCUCUUUCCCACAUGUAUGAAAUGAGCAAAGCUUUCAUUAUUCAUCAAAUGAGAAAAUUAAGCACUGUAAUUAUCUGUCUCUUGCCCCAGGGUAGAUUGGGCAUCGUUUAAUCAGACAUUGCUACAGACUGCGCCUGACCAUAAACAGACAUUAAAGAGGUUACUUAAUGAAAAAGAAAAGAGAAAAAAUAACCCAAAACUUCGGCGUCUUCAUAGCCAGUGUUGGUUUCCCUGAGAGCUUAUGGACCUUAGAACUCAGCUGGAGUUUCAGGGGAGGAAGGAAGAUUCUAGAAGAUGAUAACUGGGCCUGUGACCAAAAAGCCAAAUACAACAAAGCCAAACUAAACUGCAAUCUUUCAUGUAACCCAUUGGCAGGGCCCCUGCCUUGCAUUUCUUGGGAGCAGGGCUCACUGAGAGGACGCACAGGGCUCUGUAUUUAUGUUUGAUGGUUGGUCUGAAACCCUAGAGCCCCAGAGCCAGCUGGCCGAGUGCGGUGAGGCCGACGUAUCGCCGAGGGCAGGCAUCAGCAGCACUGGCUGCAGCGCACACACAGUCCUGCAGGUCACUGUUGUAUGUGGAAUCCUGGACAAGUGGGGAAGGGACUCCAGUUCUCCUUGAGUUUCUUCGAGUUACACUUAGCAGUCACAUAGAUGUUUCCUGUUUCACACCAUUUAUUGCAUGAGUAGAAGUUCUCAAGUCAGGGGGUCCCUGCUUGGAGGUGGUGAGGAGGUUGCUGGCUCUUGGCCCAGUGAGGUUAAGGUCCCUGUCACCCCGGAGCCCUGGGCUUCUGGGCCUGAGGGCCACACACAGGCCGGCCUGGAGUGCCAGACACGGCGUCCUGUUCAUCUGGAGCUGUGGUAACCUGCACCCUGGGCGCCCAGAAGAGCAGCUCCUCCGGAGGGACUUUGCCAGAG